Molecule: ribosomal RNA, 449 nt
Filed under: uncultured bacterium
Lineage: Bacteria
Description: partial 16S ribosomal RNA
Rfam family: Bacterial small subunit ribosomal RNA
Source: RNAcentral
CCUACGGGUGGCUGCAGUCGAGGAUCUUCGGCAAUGGGGGAAACCCUGACCGAGCGACGCCGCGUGCGGGAUGAAGGCCUUCGGGUUGUAAACCGCUGUCAGAGGGGAGGAAAUGCCGGGAAGUAAUUCAUAAUCGACCCGGUUUGACCUAUCCUCAGAGGAAGGACGGGCUAAGUUCGUGCCAGCAGCCGCGGUAAUACGAACCGUCCAAACGUUAUUCGGGCGCACUCGGCUCGAAGGGUGCGUAGGCAAAGCCCUCGGCUCAACCGAGGAAUUGCGCCCAAAGCUGCCGGGCUCGAGGGAGACAGAGGUGAGCGGAACUUAGGGUGGAGCGGUGAAAUGCGUUGAUAUCCUAAGGAACACCAGUAGCGUAAGCGGCUCACUGGGUCUCUUCUGACGCUGAGGCACGAAAGCUAGGGGAGCGAAGAGGAUUAGAUACCCGAGUAGUC